CUUGACUUCCAAUCGAGAGGUUUAAAGAUUA
This 31-nucleotide transfer RNA is filed under the name Contracaecum osculatum. RNAcentral's name for it is "partial tRNA-Gly". The record is from RNAcentral. Lineage: Eukaryota; Metazoa; Nematoda; Chromadorea; Rhabditida; Anisakidae.